Molecule: ribosomal RNA, 503 nt
Filed under: uncultured bacterium
Lineage: Bacteria
Description: partial 16S ribosomal RNA
Rfam family: Bacterial small subunit ribosomal RNA
Source: RNAcentral
AUUGAACGCUGGCGGCAGGCUUAACACAUGCAAGUCGAGCGGGGUGAUGGUGCUUGCACUAUCACUUAGCGGCGGACGGGUGAGUAAUGCUUAGGAAUCUGCCUAUUAGUGGGGGACAACAUCUCGAAAGGGAUGCUAAUACCGCAUACGUCCUACGGGAGAAAGCAAGGGAUCACUUGUGACCUUGCGCUAAUAGAUGAGCCUAAGUCGGAUUAGCUAGUUGGUGGGGUAAAGGCCUACCAAGGCGACGAUCUGUAGCGGGUCUGAGAGGAUGAUCCGCCACACUGGGACUGAGACACGGCCCAGACUCCUACGGGAGGCAGCAGUGGGGAAUAUUGGACAAUGGGGGGAACCCUGAUCCAGCCAUGCCGCGUGUGUGAAGAAGGCCUUAUGGUUGUAAAGCACUUUAAGCGAGGAGGAGGCUCUUUUGGUUAAUACCCAAGAUGAGUGGACGUUACUCGCAGAAUAAGCACCGGCUAACUCUGUGCCAGCAGCCGCAGUAA